Pelobates cultripes (western spadefoot toad) is the source of this 283-nucleotide non-coding RNA. The record is from the annotation of a GenBank genome assembly. NCBI's taxonomy places the organism in Eukaryota, Metazoa, Chordata, Amphibia, Anura, Pelobatidae.
UAUAUGUUUUAUUUUUUUAUGUUGAAACACCCACUUUGUUUAAACCUAUACCCGUUUUACACCGUAUAGGUUGCGGUCAGUUUUUGCCUAACCAGACCUGACACGCUGUCCAAAUCAGUGGGAUCACUUUGACCCAUUAUCUAGGAUGGAACCCUAGGUACUUUAACAAACCUUCUAUUCAACCCCCCCGUUACCCCAUGGAUUUACCCAUCCAGUCGCAGAGUCUGCAGAUACCUGUCACCAUAACGGAGGUGCCACUCAUCAGUUAGUGCACACACAAACC